ACAAGGCACUGAUGGGCUUUACCUGAGGGCAAGUGAUUGCUGGCCUGAGGGGGUAGAACAUAUAGGGAAGUGGGGUUUUCUCUCCUUGCUCUGCCUGCUAAUGGGCCUGGACCAAACAAGGACUGCCAUGUAGAGCCAAACCUGCAAUGCCCAAGGCAGAUAAAAGCCGGUUGUUUUGAAUCGUGAGGAGGCACACAGAAGUUACAUACAGAACUCAGCAAGCAAGGAGCACAGAGAAACACAAUGGACAUGCUGAUUCAGCACAGGGUAAGCUGAAGGAUACAGAGGGAAGUACUUGGAGCAGAAGCUGCAGGAGAGCAGCACUUGAAAGCAGCAGAAGUCAGCAGUACUUGGAAGCAGAAAGAAGAAGCAUCAGCAGAACAACAUCCCUUGACCAGCAGAACAAUAUUGGACCCUGAGUGGAGAUCAGCUGAGAUAUUCACUUGCCUGAGACUGAGGCGUAAUUUCUUGGAUAUGGUCUGCAGCGCCUCUUGCUUUCUGCUGUAAUUUCUACCCCAUCAAUGGGCCACAGGCCGUCAUCUGUUGUGGGUGUCAUCUCUGUUGUCGGUCACCUUCUCAUCUGUUUCAGCUCCCUGUAUUCCCCAAUGUUGACUUUGAUGAACUAAAUUCUUUACUCUUUUAACUUCCA
Long non-coding RNA from Ornithorhynchus anatinus (platypus), 649 nucleotides. RefSeq lists it as uncharacterized. NCBI's taxonomy places the organism in Eukaryota, Metazoa, Chordata, Mammalia, Monotremata, Ornithorhynchidae. The record is from RefSeq and is a predicted model, not a curated record. The transcript is spliced from 2 exons.